RNAcentral lists this small nucleolar RNA (215 nucleotides) under Lipomyces starkeyi NRRL Y-11557. Lineage: Eukaryota; Fungi; Ascomycota; Lipomycetes; Lipomycetales; Lipomycetaceae. The record is from RNAcentral.
ACAGUAAACUUAUUGUGUCGUCAAAGCAUUCCUACGAGAUGUACCCAUCGUUGGCGCAUGUCCAUGACAUAUGUGAAUAUCUAAUGGUUGAAUGGAGAACAGAUUUUAUGGUGAAUCUUGGGUGCAGCAGGCUUUCUGGUGUCCUUUCGUGGAUGCCUAAGGAGUACCCUUCGUGGACCCGGAUGAGGCCCGGUGCAAUGAUUCGCCGAACAUUU